Molecule: ribosomal RNA, 497 nt
Filed under: uncultured bacterium
Lineage: Bacteria
Description: partial 16S ribosomal RNA
Rfam family: Bacterial small subunit ribosomal RNA
Source: RNAcentral
GAUGAACGCUGGCGGCGUGCCUAAUACAUGCAAGUCGAGCGAACAGACGAGGAGCUUGCUCCUCUGACGUUAGCGGCGGACGGGUGAGUAACACGUGGAUAACCUACCUAUAAGACUGGGAUAACUUCGGGAAACCGGAGCUAAUACCGGAUAAUAUAUUGAACCGCAUGGUUCAAUAGUGAAAGACGGUUUUGCUGUCACUUAUAGAUGGAUCCGCGCCGCAUUAGCUAGUUGGUAAGGUAACGGCUUACCAAGGCGACGAUGCGUAGCCGACCUGAGAGGGUGAUCGGCCACACUGGAACUGGGACACGGUCCAGACUCCUACGGGAGGCAGCAGUAGGGAAUCUUCCGCAAUGGGCGAAAGCCUGACGGAGCAACGCCGCGUGAGUGAUGAAGGUCUUCGGAUCGUAAAGCUCUGUUAUUAGGGAAGAACAAAUGUGUAAGUAACUAUGCACGUCUUGACGGUACCUAAUCAGAAAGCCACGGCUAACUACGUG